UUUUAGCCCCGAUAGAAGUGAAAAUCCUUUUGUGCCGGGGUUCGGCACAAAAGAUUGUAACGUAUAGCGGGAUUAGCU
Molecule: small RNA, 78 nt
Filed under: Flavobacterium sp. fv08
Lineage: Bacteria; Pseudomonadati; Bacteroidota; Flavobacteriia; Flavobacteriales; Flavobacteriaceae
Also listed under: 1 other name
Description: Flavo-1 RNA
Rfam family: Flavo-1 RNA
Source: RNAcentral